GCUUGGGUCAAAUAUCUCUUCCCCAAACCAGCCUCCCAACUAACCCAAUCAAUGAAGAGGCUACCUCCCAACCAACCCAAUCAAUGAGGAGGCAGCCCACCCCCUCUCCCUCUAUAUAAAGGGGCUUGGCAGCCCACCCCCUCCUCACUUGCUCUCACUUUUCCACUCCCCACUCUCUCCUCCACUCCCACACACUCUCCUCCUACCUCUCCCCACGAAAUUGCUACUCCUCCUAGCUUCAUGGCCGGCCAUGGCCAUGGAAAGCUCACCAAGAUGCAGCUCCUUCCUCCCUCAAGCUCAUCCUCACCAUGAGAGCCUCCCUCUCCUUCUUCUCCCCAAUCCUAGAUGGUUUUCUCUCCUCUUCUUCUUCCUCCCUUGCUAAGAUUGGAUCUUGAUGCAGGUGCAUGUUGGUCCAAGCAUGGAGAAGAUUCUGGUACGAUAUUGUAAAAUCCGCCAAAUCUCGUGUGCAGAUCCAAAUUGAGUGGUUCAAAGUUCUGCAGAUAGAUCAAGAUCUGGUCAGAUCUGACUUUGUCGAAUUAAAUCAGGAGCUUGGAAACGAAUUUUUGAAUGAAACCAGUUGGAUAAGAACCACCUUUACAAUACCUUUC
Non-coding RNA from Lolium perenne, 608 nucleotides. The record is from RefSeq and is a predicted model, not a curated record. NCBI's taxonomy places the organism in Eukaryota, Viridiplantae, Streptophyta, Magnoliopsida, Poales, Poaceae.